RNAcentral lists this transfer RNA (72 nucleotides) under Bos taurus (domestic cattle). It matches the Rfam family "tRNA". Rfam says of the family: Transfer RNA (tRNA) molecules are approximately 80 nucleotides in length. Their secondary structure includes four short double-helical elements and three loops (D, anti-codon, and T loops). The record is from Rfam by way of RNAcentral. RNAcentral also lists the same sequence under 1 other name. Lineage: Eukaryota; Metazoa; Chordata; Mammalia; Artiodactyla; Bovidae.
UUCCUGGUGGCUCAGAUGGUAAAGCAUCUGUCUACAAUGCAGGAGACCCAGGUUCGAGCCCUGAGUUGGGAA